UACAGAGGUCUCGAGCGUUGUUCGGAUUCAUUGGGCGUAAAGGGCGCGUAGGCGGUCGUGACAAGUCACUUGUGAAAUCUCCGGGCUUAACUCGGAACGGUCAAGUGAUACUGUCGGACUAGAGUACAGAAGGGGGCAACUGGAAUUCUCGGUGUAGCGGUGAAAAUGCGUAGAGGAUCGGCAGGGAAACACCCCAGGGGGG
Molecule: ribosomal RNA, 202 nt
Filed under: uncultured bacterium
Lineage: Bacteria
Description: partial 16S ribosomal RNA
Rfam family: Bacterial small subunit ribosomal RNA
Source: RNAcentral